ACCCUUCGGGGCAUAAUUACUCUGAUUUGAUAUGUUAUUAUUUUAAUUAAAAAUUUUGGGGUAUUUAGAAGGGUGUUACAUAAGUGGUAUCAGAGCAUAGUCGGUCGAGUCGAGUCGUAAUUAUUCUGUUUCCCCUGUACGGUAUAGGUGUUGUGUAACCUAUCAGUACUCAUUGUUUUAGUUGUUUGGGUUCUCAGAAUAGAGAUGGCUGGAAGAGGUAGAGAUGAUGCUGCGAUUG
This 238-nucleotide long non-coding RNA is filed under the name Lathyrus oleraceus (garden pea). RNAcentral's name for it is "Pisum sativum (pea) long non-coding RNA (PSAT_LNC034041)". The record is from RNAcentral. Lineage: Eukaryota; Viridiplantae; Streptophyta; Magnoliopsida; Fabales; Fabaceae.